UUGCUAGUAAUCGCGAAUCAGAAUGUCGCGGUGAAUACGUUCCCGGGCCGUUGUACACACCGCCCGUCACACCAUGAGAGUCGAUAACACCCGAAGCCUGUGAGCUAACCGCAAGGAGGCAGCAGUCGAAGGUGGGGUUGAUGAUUGGGGUGAAGUCGUAACAAGGUAAC
Molecule: ribosomal RNA, 170 nt
Filed under: uncultured bacterium
Lineage: Bacteria
Description: partial 16S ribosomal RNA
Rfam family: Bacterial small subunit ribosomal RNA
Source: RNAcentral